Molecule: RNA transcript, 3567 nt
Organism: Rhododendron vialii
Lineage: Eukaryota; Viridiplantae; Streptophyta; Magnoliopsida; Ericales; Ericaceae
Gene name: pentatricopeptide repeat-containing protein At3g18020
Exons: 3
Source: RefSeq, a predicted model, not a curated record
ACCGACAAAGGACUCUCAAGGCACCCCCUGGGUUUUGAUUACUCCAUACUUCGAUACUUCAUUCUUGAGGGUUUGACUCGAUUGGAAGGGAUACUGGGUUUUGAUUACUCCUUCAUAUUCUAAACAAUAAUUUCUUGUAGACCGGGAGAGAGAAAGGGGGUAAAGACCGAUGGCGGUGCCAUGGGAUUCGACCCUUUGGAUGGCAAAGAUGAUCUUUUUGGCCCUUUGUGGUUGGAUCACAUCAUGCUUGACCGUUGCUGAUGACAUCGCUACCUCUCUACGUACAGGCGACAUAGGCCCUUUUCAUGUUGGUUGAUUUCGAGGAUUUUGGAGCUUCGGAAAUUUCUGGUCAGCCGCAUAAUACUUGAGAAGGCAAAACUGAGGAAAGAAGUACAUGGUGUACGCAUUGGCAGGGGUAGCCCAGCGAUCAGUCAUCUCUUGUUCGCUGAUGACACUGGAAUUUCACAAGGCUAGAGAAGGUUUAAUGCAGCUUUUUGUAGAAUUUUGGUGACUUAUCGCAAAGCUUGGGGCAGCUGAUCAAUUAUCAGAAAUCUAGGCUUCUCUUUGGCAAGAACACUAGUCAAGAGGAAAGGGCUUCUCUCAACAAGAAGUUAUCUAUAUCGUUUACGGGAGACUUGGGGAAGUAUUUAGUUUUGCCCUCAGAGAUAGGUAGAUCGGAGACAGAUUCAUUUCACUUUAUCAAAGAAAGUGGAACUGAGAUUUCAGGGUGGAAUGGACACGAUGUUAAAGUCUGUAGCAUAUGCUAUGCCUAACUUUGCUAUGUCAAUUUUCAAGUUGCCGGAUGGGCUAUGCAGAAGAAUAUCGGGUCAUGGCGCAGUUUUGGUGGGGACAGAAGGGGGUGAAAGGUAGGUUCAUUGGAUGCGGCAGGACAAACUUUCUAGACCUAAACACGGGCUGAUAAGGUUUCAGUGAUCUGUUAGCAUAAAACUUGGCUUUGGUGGCCAAACAAGGAUGGAAGGAAUGCCACUGUUAUGCUAUUUCUUCCUUACCAAUUCACAUGUAGGGUAAAAUGCCAGCGGCUAAUUCAAAGAUACACCAAAACAUGUGAAGGUAAUAAUGUUUCUUCUGCAGUUUUCAUCACCUAAAACUCCAAUCAACCACAGAACUAUAGCUAGAUCCUUCUCUCUCUUUGCCUCUCAACCACCACAACCAAUGCGUGAACCAGAGGAAAGAGAAGUGAGCAUAACAAACAGGAAUUACUGGACCAAAAAGAUUCACAGACUGUGUGAUGUGGACAAUGAUGUCGACGGAGCCCUUCGCCUUCUCGACCACCUCUGCCUACGUGGCUACUUCCCUGAUUCUCUCAAUAUCAGUAGCAUAAUUCACGCUCUCUGUGAGUCCCACCGCUUCUCUGAAGCUCACCAUCGCUUUUCACUCUCCAUCGAUUCCGGUUUUGUCCCUGACGAGAGGACGUGCAAUGUUCUCAUUGCUCGCUUGUUAGAUUCGAAAAACCCAUACUAUACAUUGCAUGUGUUUCGUCGUUUGAUUGCGAUGAAGCCCCGUUUCGUACCUAACUUGGUGAAUUACAAUCGUUUUAUGGAUCAAUUCUGCUGGUUGUCUCAACCCAUUGAAGCGCAUAAGUUGUUUGUUGAUAUGAGGAGUAGGGGGCACUGUCCAAAUGCUGUUUCAUACACCACGCUCAUUAAUGGGUACUGCAAAACUGGGGAUGUGGUUUCUGCCCAGAAAUUAUUUGAUGAAAUGUCCGAAUGUGGAGUACAGCCCAAUGCUCUCACAUAUAGUGUCUUGGUUCGUGGAAUUCUACGGCAGAGAAAGUUUGAACGUGGGAAGGAGCUAAUGGGCAAUCUAUGGCAGAAAAUGAUAGAUGAAAAUGAUUCAUCAGUGAACAAUGCCGCUUUUGCUAAUAUCAUUGAGUCUUUGUGUCAUGAAGGGUUGUUUCAGGAUGUGUUCAUGAUUGCAGAAGAUAUGCCUCAAGGGAAAAGCGUUCCUGAGGAAUUUGCCUACGGACAGAUGAUAGACUCGCUUUGUAAAGUGGGGAGAUAUAAUGGGGCUGCACGGGUUGCUUACAUUAUGAAAAUGAAAGGUUUUAUUCCGAGCUUGGUAUCUUACAAUUCUAUUGUACAUGGUCUCUGUAAAGAAGGCAGUUGUAUGAGGGCUUACCAGUUGUUGGAAGAGGGCAUUGAAUUUGGGUAUUGGCCUUCUGAAUAUACUUAUAUUGUUUUGAUAGAAGGUCUUUGUUUGGAAGCUGAUCUUUGUAAGGCGAAAGAAGUUUUUCAAAUCAUGUUAAAGAAGGAAGGUGUGGACAGAACAAGGAUCUACAAUAUCUAUUUAAGAGCUCUUUGUCUUAUGAACAACCCAACUGAACUUUUGAAUGUGCUUGUUUUCAUGCUUCAGUCCCAGUGCAAGCCUGACGUCAUUACCCUCAACACCAUUAUUAGUGGAUUCUGCAGAAUGGGGAGAAUCGAAGAGGCUUUGAAAAUAAUGAACGAUAUGUUGAUGGGAAAGUUUACUUCACCAGAUGCUGUAACCUUCACUAGUGUUAUCUGUGGCAUGUUAAAUGUUGGAAGAAUACGAGAAGCUCUUGAUUUAUUGCAUAAAGUAAUGCCUGAGAAGGGUGUUAGACCUGGUGUUGUGACUUAUAAUGCAGUUCUUCGUGGAUUAUUUAAACUACAUAGAGAGAGUAAAGCAAUGGAGGUUUUCAGCAGCAUGGACAGUGAUGGUGUAGUGGCAAACAGUACUACCUACACUAUCAUAGUUGAUGGGUUAUGCGAGUCUAAUCAGAUAGAGGAAGCAAAGAGGAUUUGGGAUGAUGUUAUUUGGCCAUCAAAUAUUCAUGAUGAUUUUGUGUAUGCAGCCAUUCUUAAAGGGCUUUGCCGGUCAGGCAAGUUUAAUGAGGCUUGCAAUUUCUUAUAUGAAUUGGUAGAUUGUGGGGUUUCCCCGAAUAUAGUGAACUAUAACAUUCUGAUUGAUAGUGCUUGCAAGUUAGGUUUGAAGGCAGAUGCUUACCAGAUUGUGGGAGAAAUGAGAAAGAACGGGUUGAACCCGGAUGCUGUAACGUGGAGGAUUCUUGACAGAUUACAUGGUAAUGUAGGGAAGCAAGUUUGCAUUAGUGCAAAUACACAAUUUGAAGUGGGCCUACAAGAAUUUCAUUGCUAAGGUUUUUGUUAACUGAAGCAAACUUGAAUUGGAUGAUCAUCAUAAUCGAGGAAAAAGCAGAAAGGUUGGAGGACAGUGUACCCAUGCAGUGGAUCUUUUACACUGUCUUUAAUGGCGAGACUGACAUAAGUCGUGGCUCAUAUACUUGAGUCUAAUACAAACCUGACCUUGGGCAAGUAAACACGGGCGAGGUUCGGUUUUUCACUGAGCUGGUGUGGAAACGCAUAAUUAGAAACUAAAUGGAAGAGCUGUCUUUCUUUUUUUUUUUUUUUUUUUUCUUACAGCCAGUACUCCUCAAGAAAUGCAGUACUAUGAGGGUGAUGAGAAGGUUUCGUGUAUAUAUAGCAUUUCUUAGGUACUUCUUCAUCCUGUUGAGUUAGCUGUCUGGUUGUCGGCACAUUGUUUAGCAAUAAAAAGGAAAUUCACCUGAUA